ACGAGUUUGAUCAUGGCUCAGAAUGAACGCUGGCGGCAGGCCUAACACAUGCAAGUCGAGCGAGGACUUCGGUCCUAGCGGCGGACGGGUGAGUAACGCGUGGGAAUAUGCCCUUUGGUACGGAAUAGCCUCGGGAAACUGGGAGUAAUACCGUAUGUGCCCUUCGGGGGAAAGAUUUAUCGCCAAAGGAUUAGCCCGCGUUGGAUUAGGUAGUUGGUGGGGUAAUGGCCUACCAAGCCGACGAUCCAUAGCUGGUUUGAGAGGAUGAUCAGCCACACUGGGACUGAGACACGGCCCAGACUCCUACGGGAGGCAGCAGUGGGGAAUCUUAGACAAUGGGCGCAAGCCUGAUCUAGCCAUGCCGCGUGAUCGAUGAAGGCCUUAGGGUUGUAAAGAUCUUUCAGAUGGGAAGAUAAUGACUGUACCAUCAGAAGAAGCCCCGGCUAACUCCGUG
This 454-nucleotide ribosomal RNA is filed under the name uncultured bacterium. RNAcentral describes it as "bacterial SSU rRNA". It matches the Rfam family "Bacterial small subunit ribosomal RNA", at positions 1 to 507 of the family's 1533-position model. The record is from RNAcentral.